Molecule: ribosomal RNA, 306 nt
Filed under: Triticum aestivum (bread wheat)
Lineage: Eukaryota; Viridiplantae; Streptophyta; Magnoliopsida; Poales; Poaceae
Description: partial small subunit ribosomal RNA
Source: RNAcentral
AUGGGUGAAGUGCCAGUGCUUUUGCAGGGGCCCCAUGACGCCGGGCACCGUUGCCACCUAUUUUUGAAACCAAAUACUAAGCAUGAUUAUCGGCCUUUCAGACUUCGAACCAUAAAGAAAACAUGGCCAAUACACAAUCAUUUCCUUGCUCACCUUGACGCUUAUGGACUACAAGGUUUUGCUAGGCUCACAUCAUGCGACGACCAAGUACGUUCGGACCCAUCCCUUUUGACAUCCCUCGUUGACUGGUGGAGACCUGAAACCCACACAUUUCACUUCGUUUUGGGGAGCUUGCACCUACACUGA